RNAcentral lists this ribosomal RNA (946 nucleotides) under Enterococcus faecium. RNAcentral describes it as "bacterial SSU rRNA". It matches the Rfam family "Bacterial small subunit ribosomal RNA", at positions 33 to 951 of the family's 1533-position model. Lineage: Bacteria; Bacillati; Bacillota; Bacilli; Lactobacillales; Enterococcaceae. The record is from RNAcentral.
AGGCGUGCGGGGUGCUAUACAUGCAAGUCGAACGCUUCUUUUUCCACCGGAGCUUGCUCCACCGGAAAAAGAGGAGUGGCGAACGGGUGAGUAACACGUGGGUAACCUGCCCAUCAGAAGGGGAUAACACUUGGAAACAGGUGCUAAUACCGUAUAACAAUCGAAACCGCAUGGUUUUGAUUUGAAAGGCGCUUUCGGGUGUCGCUGAUGGAUGGACCCGCGGUGCAUUAGCUAGUUGGUGAGGUAACGGCUCACCAAGGCCACGAUGCAUAGCCGACCUGAGAGGGUGAUCGGCCACAUUGGGACUGAGACACGGCCCAAACUCCUACGGGAGGCAGCAGUAGGGAAUCUUCGGCAAUGGACGAAAGUCUGACCGAGCAACGCCGCGUGAGUGAAGAAGGUUUUCGGAUCGUAAAACUCUGUUGUUAGAGAAGAACAAGGAUGAGAGUAACUGUUCAUCCCUUGACGGUAUCUAACCAGAAAGCCACGGCUAACUACGUGCCAGCAGCCGCGGUAAUACGUAGGUGGCAAGCGUUGUCCGGAUUUAUUGGGCGUAAAGCGAGCGCAGGCGGUUUCUUAAGUCUGAUGUGAAAGCCCCCGGCUCAACCGGGGAGGGUCAUUGGAAACUGGGAGACUUGAGUGCAGAAGAGGAGAGUGGAAUUCCAUGUGUAGCGGUGAAAUGCGUAGAUAUAUGGAGGAACACCAGUGGCGAAGGCGGCUCUCUGGUCUGUAACUGACGCUGAGGCUCGAAAGCGUGGGGAGCAAACAGGAUUAGAUACCCUGGUAGUCCACGCCGUAAACGAUGAGUGCUAAGUGUUGGAGGGUUUCCGCCCUUCAGUGCUGCAGCUAACGCAUUAAGCACUCCGCCUGGGGAGUACGACCGCAAGGUUGAAACUCAAAGGAAUUGACGGGGGCCCGCACAAGCGGUGGAGCAUGUGGUUUAAUU